CUGGGGUCCCGGGCCUCGGCGGCCUGCGGGUGAGCUGCCCUUCCUCUGGGAUCCCGGCGCAGGUGCUGCCCUCCACGGUGUUACGGUGCAUCAAGAAGUUCCUGACCAGAUGUUGAGCAGAUGCCUCUAGGGGCCCUCAAGCUUCUCAGCCUCCAGAAUUCGAGGGAGGCCAGUCCCUUCCUCCCUUCCUGCGAGGGAACCUGGUCCAUCUCUGCCUGACCUAUUGGGCCUAGCUGUGGAAGACUGAUGGUGCCUUGGGACACUGGCCCCUUCACCCAUCACAUCAAAAGAGCCCAGGAAAAAGAUCCACGUGUCAGAUUUGGCUGCCAUGGCAAUCAUUGCUGCUCCUAAAGAACUGGUGCUCUGGGAGUUCCAUGUCCACCAAGAAUGGUAGCGUCGACAAAGGCGUGGUCGACUGGGGCAUCACAGAGGCUCCUGUGCUGUGCCAACUUCCCAGCCAGCCCCCACUCCCCCCCAAAAACUUCAUCCCGGAUCAGCAGGAAGUAGAUAUGGAAGAAGAAACCACUGGCCCAAUUCCAUAACAAAAUAAAGGCUGGGAUGUUAGGUAUUUCAGAGCCCCCACAGAACAAGCCCCUCCUCUCCUUUCCCUUUUCCCCACUCUGGC
Long non-coding RNA from Heterocephalus glaber (naked mole-rat), 625 nucleotides. NCBI's taxonomy places the organism in Eukaryota, Metazoa, Chordata, Mammalia, Rodentia, Bathyergidae. The record is from Ensembl.